Molecule: RNA transcript, 1052 nt
Organism: Sapajus apella (tufted capuchin)
Lineage: Eukaryota; Metazoa; Chordata; Mammalia; Primates; Cebidae
Gene name: elongation factor 1-delta-like
Exons: 1
Source: RefSeq, a predicted model, not a curated record
CGAAGUCAAAAGUUUCAGACCAGCCUGGCCAACAUAGUGAAGCCCGGUCUCUACUAAAAAUACAAAAAUUAGUCUCUUUCCUCAGGUGUCCUGCAUCCGCCCAUUCCUCCUCCCUGGUCACCGCGUCCUUGGCUGGCAUGAGAAAAAUGGCUACAAACUUCCUAGUACAUGAGAAGAUCUGGUUCUACAAGUUCAAAUACGAUGAUGCGGAAAGGAGAUUCUAAGAGCAGAUGAACGGGCCUGUAGCUGGUGUUUCCCGCCAAGAGAAUGGCGCCAGCGUGAUCCUCUGUGACACUGCCAGAGCCAGAGAGAACAUCCAGAAAUCCCUGGCCAGAAGCUCAGGCCCUGGGGCUUCCAGCAGCCCCAGCAGAGACCACAGCAAGCUCCUUGUCCGGAUCGCCAGUCUGGAAGUGGAGAACAAGCCUGUGUGGCGUGGUGCAGGAGCUGCAGCAGGCUGUCUCCAAGCUGGAGGCCUGGCUGAAUGUGCUGGAGAAGAGCUCACCCGGCCAUCAGGCCACCGGGCUACAGCCCCGCAGACCCAGCACGUGUCUCCCAUGCUCCAAGUGGAGCCCUCAACCAAGAAGCCAGCCACACCAGCAGAGGAUGAGGAUGAUGACAUUGACCUGUUUGGCAGCGACAAUGAGGAGAAGGACAAGGAGGCAGCCCAGCUGUGGGAGGAGCAGCUGCUGCAGUACACGGAAAAGAAGACCAAGAAGCCUGCGCGGGUGGCCAAGUCCUCCAUCCUGCUGGACAUCAACACUUGGGCUGAUGACACCGACAUGGCCCAGCUGGAGGCCUAUGUGCGCUCCAUCCAGCUGGACUGGCUGGUCUGGGGAGCCUCCAAGCUGGUGCCUGUGGGCUAAUAUACACUGAAGCUGCAGAUUCAGCGUGUGGUGGAGGAUGACAAGGUGGGGACAGACUUGCUGGAGGAGGAAAUCACCAAGUUUGAGGAGCACAUGCAGAGUGUCAACAUCACAGCUUUCAACAAAAUCCGAAGCCUGUGUGUGCGUGUGUGUGCACGUGUGCGUGUGUGUGCACGUGUGCAUGCGUGA